Molecule: ribosomal RNA, 256 nt
Filed under: uncultured Pseudomonas sp.
Lineage: Bacteria; Pseudomonadati; Pseudomonadota; Gammaproteobacteria; Pseudomonadales; Pseudomonadaceae
Description: partial 16S ribosomal RNA
Rfam family: Bacterial small subunit ribosomal RNA
Source: RNAcentral
CGGCGGACGGGUGAGUAAUGCCUAGGAAUCUGCCUGGUAGUGGGGGACAACGUUUCGAAAGGAACGCUAAUACCGCAUACGUCCUACGGGAGAAAGCAGGGACCUUCGGGCCUUGCGCUAUCAGAUGAGCCUAGGUCGGAUUAGCUAGUUGGUGAGGUAAUGGCUCACCAAGGCGACGAUCCGUAACUGGUCUGAGAGGAUGAUCAGUCACACUGGAACUGAGACACGGUCCAGACUCCUACGGGAGGCAGCAGCG